RNAcentral lists this ribosomal RNA (774 nucleotides) under uncultured bacterium. RNAcentral's name for it is "bacterial SSU rRNA". It matches the Rfam family "Bacterial small subunit ribosomal RNA", at positions 8 to 796 of the family's 1533-position model. The record is from RNAcentral.
AGAGUUUGAUCAUGGCUCAGGAUGAACGCUGGCGGCGUGCUUAACACAUGCAAGUCGAACGAUGAAGCCCAGCUUGCUGGGUGGAUUAGUGGCGAACGGGUGAGUAACACGUGAGUAACCUGCCCUUGACUCUAGGAUAAGCCCGGGAAACUGGGUCUAAUACUGGAUAGGAACGUCUACCGCAUGGUGGAUGUUGGAAAGAAUUUCGGUCAUGGAUGGACUCGCGGCCUAUCAGCUUGUUGGUGAGGUAAUGGCUCACCAAGGCGACGACGGGUAGCCGGCCUGAGAGGGUGACCGGCCACACUGGGACUGAGACACGGCCCAGACUCCUACGGGAGGCAGCAGUGGGGAAUAUUGCACAAUGGGCGAAAGCCUGAUGCAGCGACGCCGCGUGAGGGAUGACGGCCUUCGGGUUGUAAACCUCUUUCAGUAGGGAAGAAGCGAAAGUGACGGUACCUGCAGAAGAAGCACCGGCUAACUACGUGCCAGCAGCCGCGGUAAUACGUAGGGUGCGAGCGUUAUCCGGAAUUAUUGGGCGUAAAGAGCUCGUAGGCGGUUUGUCGCGUCUGUCGUGAAAGUCCGGGGCUUAACCCCGGAUCUGCGGUGGGUACGGGCAGACUAGAGUGCAGUAGGGGAGACUGGAAUUCCUGGUGUAGCGGUGGAAUGCGCAGAUAUCAGGAGGAACACCGAUGGCGAAGGCAGGUCUCUGGGCUGUAACUGACGCUGAGGAGCGAAAGCAUGGGGAGCGAACAGGAUUAGAUACCCCGGUAGUCC